RNAcentral lists this ribosomal RNA (363 nucleotides) under uncultured bacterium. RNAcentral's name for it is "bacterial SSU rRNA". It matches the Rfam family "Bacterial small subunit ribosomal RNA", at positions 335 to 698 of the family's 1533-position model. The record is from RNAcentral.
ACUCCUACGGGAGGCAGCAGUGGGGAAUCUUGCGCAAUGGCCGAAAGGCUGACGCAGCGACGCCGCGUGUGGGAGGACGCCCUUCGGGGUGUAAACCUCUGUUGCCCGGGACGAAUGGCUUGCUUUGGCGAGCUUGACGGUACCGGGUGAGGAAGCGCCGGUUAACUCCGUGCCAGCAGCCGCGGUAAUACGGAGGGCGCGAGCGUUGUCCGGAAUCACUGGGCGUAAAGGGCGCGUAGGCGGCUCGAUAAGGCUUGCGUGAAAGUCCGGGGCUCAACCCCGGAUCGGCGCGGGCGACUGUUGGGCUGGAGCACGGUAGGGGCAGACGGAAUUCCGGGUGUAGCGGUGAAAUGCGUAGAGAUC